UCCAGGGUUAGGCGGAAUAGCAAUAGAAGUGUACGGUUAGUGUGUCAGUAUGGCUAGUCUGGAAUUGUUUGGCUCUCACUCGGCAUCUGGCUGACUUGUUUAAUUAUUUUGGGGUUUUUUUCAGAUGCAGAGAGAGAGGAAGCGCACCAAAGAGCAGCACAGGAGGGGAGCAGAGCGCCGUAAGGAGGUGCUGCAAGUGAGGACAGCUGCAGGGUCCGUCUCUGGACCGAGCAGCUGAUGAAGAGGCACCGGGCAACUGCAGGAACAUUCCCAGUUAGCCAAUGUGUGGUGUUGAUGUUAUUGUUGCUGAUGGAUUCGGAUCCCCGGCCCUCGGAAAGCUAAGUUGAGGGACCGUGGCCGGGGAGGGAGCGAGUUUGGGGG
Long non-coding RNA from Grus americana (Whooping crane), 381 nucleotides. RefSeq lists it as uncharacterized. The transcript is spliced from 3 exons. Lineage: Eukaryota; Metazoa; Chordata; Aves; Gruiformes; Gruidae. The record is from RefSeq and is a predicted model, not a curated record.